Pezoporus flaviventris is the source of this 285-nucleotide long non-coding RNA. RefSeq lists it as uncharacterized. NCBI's taxonomy places the organism in Eukaryota, Metazoa, Chordata, Aves, Psittaciformes, Psittacidae. The transcript has 3 exons. The record is from RefSeq and is a predicted model, not a curated record.
UAGGCGAUCAUGGGGGCAUCAUGGCCUCUUCUCCCCCCCCGGCCUUCGGAGCUCCAUCUCCUGUAUGUCUGAGGGAGAGAUGGCGGUGUCAGGGAUUUCUGUGUGAUCUUUCAGGAAAAAGCAGAUAGAAAAGCCCAAAAUUUCCAUUAUAUGUAUUGUUUCACUGUUACAAACACAUCACUCCCUGGCAAGAGGAGACUAAAAUACCUUUGCCCUGAAGAUGACAUAUAUUAGUAACAUAGCAAUAUCAAGUUCAGUAGUUGUGUUGCACUCAGUUGUUUUAAG